This 515-nucleotide ribosomal RNA is filed under the name uncultured Streptococcus sp. RNAcentral describes it as "bacterial SSU rRNA". It matches the Rfam family "Bacterial small subunit ribosomal RNA", at positions 28 to 525 of the family's 1533-position model. Lineage: Bacteria; Bacillati; Bacillota; Bacilli; Lactobacillales; Streptococcaceae. The record is from RNAcentral.
GAUGAACGCUGGCGGCGUGCCUAAUACAUGCAAGUAGAACGCUGAAGCUUGGUGCUUGCACCGAGCGGAUGAGUUGCGAACGGGUGAGUAACGCGUAGGUAACCUGCCUCUUAGCGGGGGAUAACUAUUGGAAACGAUAGCUAAUACCGCAUAAAAGUCGAUAUCGCAUGAUAUUGACUUGAAAGGUGCAAUUGCAUCACUAAGAGAUGGACCUGCGUUGUAUUAGCUAGUUGGUGAGGUAACGGCUCACCAAGGCGACGAUACAUAGCCGACCUGAGAGGGUGAUCGGCCACACUGGGACUGAGACACGGCCCAGACUCCUACGGGAGGCAGCAGUAGGGAAUCUUCGGCAAUGGACGGAAGUCUGACCGAGCAACGCCGCGUGAGUGAAGAAGGUUUUCGGAUCGUAAAGCUCUGUUGUAAGAGAAGAACGAGUGUGAGAGUGGAAAGUUCACACUGUGACGGUAACUUACCAGAAAGGGACGGCUAACUACGUGCCAGCAGCCGCGGUAAUA